UCGGGAAUUUUGGGCAAUGGGUGAGAGCCUGAUCCAGCCAUGCCGCGUGCAGGAAGAAGGCGUUAUGCGUUGUAAACUGCUUUUGCCAGGGGAUAAAAAGACCGUGCGCGGUUAAUUGAAGGUACCUGGUGAAUAAGCCACGGCUAACUUCGUGCCAGCAGCCGCGGUAAGACGAAGGAUGCAAGCGUUAUCCGGAUUCAUUGGGUUUAAAGGGUGCGUAGGCGGACUGAUAAGUCAGUGGUGAAAUCUCUCGGCUUAACCGAGAAACUGCCAUUGAUACUGUUAGUCUAGAGUACAGAUGAUGUGGGCGGAAUAUGACAUGUAGUGGUGAAAUACUUAGAUAUGUCAUAGAACACCGAUUGCGAAGGCAGCUCACAAAACUGUAACUGACGCUGAGGCACGAAAGUGCGGGGAUCAAACAGGAUUAGAUACCCGCGUAGUCCCUGAGCGGGCUGGCAAGGCGCAU
This 466-nucleotide ribosomal RNA is filed under the name uncultured bacterium. RNAcentral's name for it is "bacterial SSU rRNA". It matches the Rfam family "Bacterial small subunit ribosomal RNA", at positions 355 to 825 of the family's 1533-position model. The record is from RNAcentral.